GACGAACGCUGGCGGCGUGCUUAACACAUGCAAGUCGAGCGGACCUUCUCUUUCGGGGGUUGGUUAGCGGCGAACGGGUGAGUAACACGUGAGCAACCUGCCUUUGGCUUCGGGAUAAGCCCGGGAAACCGGGUCUAAUACCGGAUAUGACCCUCUGUCGCAUGGUGGGGGGUGGAAAGAUUUAUCGGCCAGAGAUGGGCUCGCGGCCUAUCAGCUUGUUGGUGGGGUUGUGGCCUACCAAGGCGACGACGGGUAGCCGGCCUGAGAGGGUGUCCGGCCACACUGGGACUGAGACACGGCCAGACUCCUACGGGAGGCAGCAGUGGGGAAUCUUGCGCAAUGGGCGGAAGCCUGACGCAGCGACGCCGCGUGGGGGAUGACGGCCUC
RNAcentral lists this ribosomal RNA (387 nucleotides) under uncultured bacterium. RNAcentral describes it as "bacterial SSU rRNA". It matches the Rfam family "Bacterial small subunit ribosomal RNA", at positions 28 to 418 of the family's 1533-position model. The record is from RNAcentral.